UUCCACCGUAUCAUGCAGAGUAUCUUUG
RNAcentral lists this small RNA (28 nucleotides) under Bombyx mori (domestic silkworm). RNAcentral's name for it is "ovarian small RNA-37115". The record is from RNAcentral. Lineage: Eukaryota; Metazoa; Arthropoda; Insecta; Lepidoptera; Bombycidae.